UUUUUUUGCCUGGUGUAUGGAAAACACUGCGUUAAAAAUAACCCCCCAGUGCUGCAUAUCGAGGUGACCAUCCAGCUUGGUCCUGCUGUGGGAUCCUCUGUAAACAGAUCUCUGGAUAAAAGGACAAUAGCACAUUGUUAUUUUUGUUGGGUUUUUUCUUUUUUCUUUUUCUUUUUUUCAUCCUGGCUAUACUCCAAAUCACAAAGCUGGAGAAUUUCAGGGCUCGCGCUGCUCCGCUUAUUUUUAACCGAGAACAAUUCCAGCUGCUUUCCAACCCUCUCCCUUAACCAGAGCACAUUUCAGGAGAGCUGCUGGCUUUUAGGUUCUGUUGAGCGCAGGGAAGUGCAGAAAACGGGUCUGAAUGCUCUGCCAGAAAGGACAACACUGCAGCAAGCCAGCUGGGAUAGGCUCACAAUUUAAUUCAGGUCAACCAAAGGGGAAAAAAAAAAGGUUUCCUCCAGCUCUCCCUCCGUUUCAAAAGAAAAACAAAGCACUGUCGGCAUUGAUCCUUCUCCCUUCUCAACUGCUCCAGCCUCAGUUUCCCCAUCUUGCGCAGUGCUGGCUCCUGCUCUCCGCUCCCCAGCAGCUUUCACCUCCGAGGCGGUGAUGGCAGAGGGAAGGCAUGCUAGGAAUCCGGCUCAGCUCUCCCUCAGUCCACUGCCUGCUUUUCACAUUUCUCACGGCUGAUGGGGCCGUUUCCAACCCGUUUCCCUUUACAGUCUUGCUUAUGCUGCACCAAAAUCUUCAGCUUGCAAGUGAAACCUGCAAAAGGCCUUUUUUGCUACGAAGCAAAACCUUGAUCGCCGAUUUAAAAAUAGUACAGUUGUGCCUGUCAGCUCCUUUUAACAGCCCUAGAGUUGCAAGAAAGAUAACCUUUGUGUUUUUUUGUCCUACAUUCUCAGGUUCCUGGGAGCAGGGCAUGGUAUCCGAUGCCUUCUCUGGGAAAGACCAGGGAAAUUUUAUCCCCAGGCCGCACCCAACCCAAAGUGAAGAAAUAUUUGCAUUUGCUUCUCCUUGGAGAGCAGCCAGCCUAUGUGAGAGGGCCCUCCCUGCUCGCCUUGGCCUGCCAAGAGGGAUUGCAAGAAAGGACAGGCUGAUUGCAGCAGCCCAGGGCGUUGCGCAGGCACUGCUCCUUGCCCUUUUGCACCUCCACUGCAAGACGACGCAAGACCUCAGCAGGUUUUGCACCUCCAGUGGGGUGAGGAGCCCAAGGAUGGGCUGAGUUGUCGCAGUUGGUGUCUACAUGCUCAGCAGCAGAAUGGGACCCCCAGGACUUGACGGGGCCAGACGUACAGCACAAUUCCUCGAUAUCCACCCAGAGAGUGCAAGGCUUUGGGAAUGACUUCAGGCACAGGACUUCCAGGCGUGGGACACGUCCCCAGAUGAACCAAAGCCACCUCUAUACAUGAGCGCCCCGGCUCCAGGAAACACCACAGCUUUACACGAGCAUCU
Molecule: long non-coding RNA, 1452 nt
Organism: Numida meleagris (helmeted guineafowl)
Lineage: Eukaryota; Metazoa; Chordata; Aves; Galliformes; Numididae
Exons: 3
Source: RefSeq, a predicted model, not a curated record